RNAcentral lists this small RNA (396 nucleotides) under Drosophila pseudoobscura pseudoobscura. RNAcentral's name for it is "GA32101". The record is from RNAcentral. Lineage: Eukaryota; Metazoa; Arthropoda; Insecta; Diptera; Drosophilidae.
GCUCAAAAUGUUAGCGUAAAAUAUCAAAUAUCUAACAAAAAUGUACGACUACCGAUAUCAAAACUGUCGAUAUAUCAAUAAAGGCGCUCUGGACAUGCAACUCUUCUAAAACAGCACAUUACACACACUGACAUGGCCAAUAUUUAUAAUUGAUUCAUCCAUUGUCAAAAUUCCAGUCAGUGGGGACAACCGAAAUAUCCUUUUGUUCUAUGACGCAGACAUUCACAAUGUGCGAACAUAUUUAACAUUUAUUCAGCACUAAAUACUAUUCAAAAAAAGGAUGAUAGGAUACUAAAUUAGUUUUUUACACUGUUUAUUGGUUGGAUCUUUUCAUGUUUAUUUUCUUGUUGUAAAUUUAGUGUAGCAUUACACGCGUUAUUUUGUAUAAAAAAAAAA